UUCUUGUUUAGUGUAUAUAAUAAGUAUAAUCUGCCCAGUGAAAGUAUUAAACGGCUAUAUGAAAUAUUAAAGUAGCGUAAUAAAUUGUCAUUUAAUUAAUGAAUAUAAUGAAGAUUUUAUGAAUUAAAUACUGUCUUUAAGAUAUAAAAUAAAAUUAAUAAUUUAGUGAAAAAUCUUAAUUAUUUUUAAAAGACGAUAAGACCCUAUAGAACUUAUUUAAAAUCUUAAAUUUGCUGGGGAAGCAAAAAUAGAAUUAAAGUUAUUUUUUAACAUAAAAAUAUAAAAUUAUUAUAACCAUUAAUUUUAAUGAAUAAAAAGUUACCUUAGGGAUAACAGCAUUAAUAAUAUAAAAAGUCCUUAUUUUAAUAUUUUUUAAUGACCUCGAUGUUGAAUUAAGAUAAAUUUAAAAAGUAAAAAUUUUAUUUAAUUAGGUCUGUUCGACCUUUAAAAUCUU
RNAcentral lists this ribosomal RNA (454 nucleotides) under Kladothrips hamiltoni. RNAcentral's name for it is "partial 16S ribosomal RNA". The record is from RNAcentral. Lineage: Eukaryota; Metazoa; Arthropoda; Insecta; Thysanoptera; Phlaeothripidae.